UUAACUUCCUUGUUGCUAUGGAGACUCACUGGCUCAGAUCCGGCCCCAUCUCAACUCUCUACUCCAAGCCCAGUUUCAGUUGAUUUAGCCUUUGCCCCAGUCCCAGACUAAGUCUCAUGUGAGUGCCAGUGCGGGGCCUGUACCCAGCCACGUCUCUCAGACAGGAGUAAUGAAGAACCAGGCUCAAGUCUACUCUUAGGCUCAAAGGUCAACAGAUUCUUCAAUAGUAGGUUAGGAGAUACUCUGCUCAUUGCAAAUGUUGAGCAUCAUUUCCUGCCUUGAACCCCUGAAUGUCAGCAACACCUCUCAUCCAAGGGACUUUUCUCAACAGUGGGUGCAUUAAACAGUCCUGAAUCUAGGGGAACUAAAUGUCAGAGUCUAGAGGAGUUGAGAGGUGCAGAGGACAGUGGUGUGACAGAGGUGAGCUCCAGACUACAGGACACUCCCCUUAGAAGGCUGAAGACUUGACCCCAAGCUCCAAGGAAAUCACCAUGAGUGACCUUUGCUUACUUCGAGGCCUUAUCCUGGUACCUGAUGUAGUUCAGUAGCCUCUGAAUUGAGUUUGCCUUUGUUUGAAGUCAUAUUUUCACAUUUCAUCCGAUGCUAUUUAUCUUCCACCAAAAAGUCACACCUAAACUUUCCAGAUGCCCAGUCGCAGACUUCCCAGGGUGAUCACACUCGUGUGCACAGUCUAUCAUUGUGCAAGCUCACACUCGAGAAUGGAUGUCAAAAGACGCUUUCAUGAACCUAAAAAACAAUGAAGUUAAGUUGAACUUGUUGCUUAAUUGAGCCAUAUUCCAGAACCAUUUUUUGAGAAAGGUUCCUACGAAUCUUGACCAAACUAGGAAACCCUGCCGCACCCUGCACUCUGAAGGCAAGUUACGUGCUUUUGCUGCCCUCUUGUGGUCUUUAUUUCUCACUGCAAUGUCCCCGACAGCAAAAGUAUUUCAAGUCCUCAGCAGGCUAUUUGAUAAUGGGAAUUUAGAAUAACAGUCUAAAUAAUUUAGAAUAAUUAAGAAAAUAUCCUAACAUAUUUUUCAACAAUAAGCUUAUGAUUUGUGUUACGGAGCCCCAUGUAGUUAAUUUAAAUAUUUCCUCAUGUGCGUUGCCAAGAAGAUUGCCCAGAGAAACGUGGAGACAUUUUUACACCAGAAAAUAGACCAAAUUUGCAAGAAUUGUAAUUCGGCUAGUAACUGGGCAUGAGGAGGCUUUGCUGGUGAAUUAACAUCAUCUUCUAAAUUAAGUACUUCAUAAAAGAAAUUCUGGAGUAAGCGUUCAUCCUUUGUAAUGAAGUUCCUCUUGUGCCUCUUCUGCC
RNAcentral lists this small RNA (1315 nucleotides) under Rattus norvegicus (Norway rat). RNAcentral describes it as "uncharacterized LOC102551458". Lineage: Eukaryota; Metazoa; Chordata; Mammalia; Rodentia; Muridae. The record is from RNAcentral.